UUUCCGGUUGAUCCCGCCGGACCUGACUGCUAUCGGAUUGAUACUAAGCCAUGCGAGUCAUUGUAGCAAUACAAGGCAUACGGCUCAGUAACGCGUAGUCAACCUAACCUAUGGACGGGAAUAACCUCGGGAAACUGAGAAUAAUGCCCGAUAGAACAUUAUACCUGGAAUGGUUUAUGUUCCAAAUGAUUUAUCGCCGUAGGAUGGGACUGCGGCCUAUCAGUUUGUUGGUGAGGUAAUGGCCCACCAAGACUAUUACAGGUACGGGCUCUGAGAGGAGUAGCCCGGAGAUGGGUACUGAGACACGGACCCAGGCCCUAUGGGGCGCAGCAGGCGAGAAAACUUUGCAAUGUGCGAAAGCACGACAAGGUUAAUCCGAGUGAUUUCUGCUAAAGAAAUCUUUUGUUAGUCCUAGAAACACUAACGAAUAAGGGGUGGGCAAGUUCUGGUGUCAGCCGCCGCGGUAAAACCAGCACCUCAAGUGGUCAGGAUGAUUAUUGGGCCUAAAGCAUCCGUAGCCGGCUCUGUAAGUUUUCGGUUAAAUCUGUACGCUUAACGUACAGGCCGCCGGGAAUACUGCAAAGCUAGGGAGUGGGAGAAGUAGACGGUACUCGGUAGGAAGUGGUAAAAUGCUUUGAUCUAUCGAUGACCACCUGUGGCGAAGGCGGUCUACUAGAACACGUCCGACGGUGAGGGAUGAAAGCUGGGGGAGCAAACCGGAUUAGAUACCCGGGUAGUCCCAGCUGUAAACUAUGCAAACUCAGUGAUGCAUUGGCUUGUGGCCAAUGCAGUGCUGCAGGGAAGCCGUUAAGUUUGCCGCCUGGGAAGUACGUACGCAAGUAUGAAACUUAAAGGAAUUGGCGGGGGAGCACCACAAGGGGUGAAGCCUGCGGUUCAAUUGGA
RNAcentral lists this ribosomal RNA (903 nucleotides) under uncultured archaeon. Its description in RNAcentral is "bacterial SSU rRNA". It matches the Rfam family "Archaeal small subunit ribosomal RNA", at positions 1 to 910 of the family's 1478-position model. The record is from RNAcentral.